UACGAAGGGGGCGAGCGUUGUUCGGAUUUACUGGGCGUAAAGGGCGCGCAGGCGGCGCAUUUUGUCAGGCGUGAAAUCCCUCGGCUUAACCGGGGAACUGCGUCUGAUACUGGAUGGCUUGAGUUCGGGAGAGGGAUGCGGAAUUCCAGGUGUAGCGGUGAAAUGCGUAGAUAUCUGGAGGAACACCGGUGGCGAAGGCGGCAUCCUGGACCGACACUGACGCUGAGGAGCGAAAGCCAGGGGAGCAAACGGG
Molecule: ribosomal RNA, 253 nt
Filed under: uncultured bacterium
Lineage: Bacteria
Description: partial 16S ribosomal RNA
Rfam family: Bacterial small subunit ribosomal RNA
Source: RNAcentral